AACCAGCACCUCAAGUGGUCAGGAUGAUUAUUGGGCCUAAAGCAUCCGUAGCCGGCUCUGUAAGCUUUCGGUUAAAUCUAUGCGCUCAACGUAUGGGCUGCCGAAAAUACUGUAGAGAUAGGGAGUGGGAGAGGUAGACGGUACUCGGUAGGAAGGGGUAAAAUCCUUUGAUCUAUCGAUGACCACCAGUGGCGAAGGCGUCUGAUCAUAACGGCUUUGACGGUGAGGAACGAAACCCUGGGGCGCAAACGGG
RNAcentral lists this ribosomal RNA (253 nucleotides) under uncultured archaeon. RNAcentral's name for it is "partial 16S ribosomal RNA". It matches the Rfam family "Archaeal small subunit ribosomal RNA", at positions 474 to 727 of the family's 1478-position model. The record is from RNAcentral.